RNAcentral lists this ribosomal RNA (305 nucleotides) under Bacillus cereus. Its description in RNAcentral is "partial 23S ribosomal RNA". It matches the Rfam family "Bacterial large subunit ribosomal RNA", at positions 2625 to 2925 of the family's 2925-position model. Lineage: Bacteria; Bacillati; Bacillota; Bacilli; Caryophanales; Bacillaceae. The record is from RNAcentral.
GACAGUUCGGUCCCUAUCCGUCGUGGGCGUAGGAAAUUUGAGAGGAGCUGUCCUUAGUACGAGAGGACCGGGAUGGACGCACCGCUGGUGUACCAGUUGUUCUGCCAAGGGCAUAGCUGGGUAGCUAUGUGCGGAAGGGAUAAGUGCUGAAAGCAUCUAAGCAUGAAGCCCCCCUCAAGAUGAGAUUUCCCAUAGCGUAAGCUAGUAAGAUCCCUGAAAGAUGAUCAGGUUGAUAGGUUCGAGGUGGAAGCAUGGUGACAUGUGGAGCUGACGAAUACUAAUAGAUCGAGGACUUAACCAUAUAA